UCCCCCCUGAGCACCAGGGCUUGUGAAUGUGGGGCUGUUAAUUUAGUGGGCUGCGCUCGCUUGGUCAUCCUGGUAAGGUGAUCUACAGCAGACACCUACGCGUCACCUGUCCCUGUUUUCCCUUUAAUCCUGACCCAUAAACUCUCAGCCAGAUCCUCAUCUCUCCCCAGGUGGAGCUCCAUUCUCUCCAGAUGGUCACUGACAUUGUGGGCAACCCUGCCUCCUCAUCUUCCCUAUGGCUCCUAAAGAUCCUGUAUCCCUUCAUUCCAGCAGUACUGUCAGAGGAGCUGUCCCACUACAUCUCCAUGAUGCCAGUAGAUACCAAAUGAAUUGGUAAACUCUGGGGAAGAUCAUACCCUUAUGCAUCCCAUACCUUUCUCUAAGAAGCUUUCCUAUGUUUUGGAAUGAAUGUGGCAGCUGAGAUGCAGCAUGUGCAAAAGAACAACAAGGUCCUAGUCACAGUCUAGCUUCUGUUUUCAGCCCUUUCAAAGCUGCUUCCUUGCUGCCCCAAGAACAGGAUUAACAGGCAGCAGCUCACAGAGGGAGAUCAGCUUUCUGAGACAUGGAUGUCUUUAAAAGCACAUUUUAUGAUCUAAAGGAAUUUUAAGCCAUCCCAUUAUGAUACAAAGAAAAUGGGAGACAAAAGUAGGGGCAUAACAACGCAUGCCUCUAAAGUAAGGCCUGCAUUUGUGUUAAAUAUUGCUCAAGAAUUUGUGUUCAAAACUCAUGUUUGUGAUUUUCAUGGUGGAAAAAUUAUUGGAAAAAGAAAGUGGUACCUAAUAGAGUAGCAUGCAAACUGCAAAGGGGAAAAAAUUCUCUUAUUGUGAAAUUUCCAGAUGGCAAUAAGAUUGCUGGUGU
This is a long non-coding RNA of Poecile atricapillus (Black-capped chickadee), 858 nucleotides long. RefSeq lists it as uncharacterized. NCBI's taxonomy places the organism in Eukaryota, Metazoa, Chordata, Aves, Passeriformes, Paridae. The record is from RefSeq and is a predicted model, not a curated record. The transcript has 3 exons.